RNAcentral lists this ribosomal RNA (783 nucleotides) under Escherichia coli. Its description in RNAcentral is "partial 23S ribosomal RNA". It matches the Rfam family "Bacterial large subunit ribosomal RNA", at positions 407 to 1191 of the family's 2925-position model. RNAcentral also lists the same sequence under 1 other name. Lineage: Bacteria; Pseudomonadati; Pseudomonadota; Gammaproteobacteria; Enterobacterales; Enterobacteriaceae. The record is from RNAcentral.
GAUGAGUAGGGCGGGACACGUGGUAUCCUGUCUGAAUAUGGGGGGACCAUCCUCCAAGGCUAAAUACUCCUGACUGACCGAUAGUGAACCAGUACCGUGAGGGAAAGGCGAAAAGAACCCCGGCGAGGGGAGUGAAAAAGAACCUGAAACCGUGUACGUACAAGCAGUGGGAGCACGCUUAGGCGUGUGACUGCGUACCUUUUGUAUAAUGGGUCAGCGACUUAUAUUCUGUAGCAAGGUUAACCGAAUAGGGGAGCCGAAGGGAAACCGAGUCUUAACUGGGCGUUAAGUUGCAGGGUAUAGACCCGAAACCCGGUGAUCUAGCCAUGGGCAGGUUGAAGGUUGGGUAACACUAACUGGAGGACCGAACCGACUAAUGUUGAAAAAUUAGCGGAUGACUUGUGGCUGGGGGUGAAAGGCCAAUCAAACCGGGAGAUAGCUGGUUCUCCCCGAAAGCUAUUUAGGUAGCGCCUCGUGAAUUCAUCUCCGGGGGUAGAGCACUGUUUCGGCAAGGGGGUCAUCCCGACUUACCAACCCGAUGCAAACUGCGAAUACCGGAGAAUGUUAUCACGGGAGACACACGGCGGGUGCUAACGUCCGUCGUGAAGAGGGAAACAACCCAGACCGCCAGCUAAGGUCCCAAAGUCAUGGUUAAGUGGGAAACGAUGUGGGAAGGCCCAGACAGCCAGGAUGUUGGCUUAGAAGCAGCCAUCAUUUAAAGAAAGCGUAAUAGCUCACUGGUCGAGUCGGCCUGCGCGGAAGAUGUAACGGGGCUAAACCAUG